RNAcentral lists this ribosomal RNA (477 nucleotides) under Candidatus Scalindua marina (nom. nud.). RNAcentral describes it as "bacterial SSU rRNA". It matches the Rfam family "Bacterial small subunit ribosomal RNA", at positions 365 to 832 of the family's 1533-position model. Lineage: Bacteria; Pseudomonadati; Planctomycetota; Candidatus Brocadiia; Candidatus Brocadiales; Candidatus Scalinduaceae. The record is from RNAcentral.
UUCGCAAUGCCCGAAAGGGUGACGAAGCGACGCCGCGUGGGUGAAGAAGGCCUUCGGGUUGUAAAGCCCUGUCAGGAGUUAUGAAAUGUAGGUGCGAUAAUACCGUGCCUAUUUGACAAAGGCUCCAAAGGAAGCCACGGCUAACUCUGUGCAAGCAGCCGCGGUAAUACAGAGGUGGCAAGCGUUGUUCGGAAUUAUUGGGCGUAAAGAGCACGUAGGUGGGUUUGUAAGUCAGAUGUGAAAGCCUUCUGUUCAACGGAAGAAUUGCAUCUGAAACUGCGAGUCUUGAGUGUAGGAGGGGAGAAUGGAACUUCUGGUGGAGCGGUGAAAUGCGUAGAUAUCAGAAGGAACGCCGGCGGCGAAAGCGAUUCUCUGGCCUAUUACUGACACUGAGUGUGCGAAAGCAAGGGGAGCAAACGGGAUUAGAUACCCCGGUAGUCCUAGCCGUAAACGAUGGGCACUAAGUAGAGGGGUUUU